This is a non-coding RNA of Triticum aestivum (bread wheat), 105 nucleotides long. Lineage: Eukaryota; Viridiplantae; Streptophyta; Magnoliopsida; Poales; Poaceae. The record is from Rfam.
CAAGUACUCCCUCCGUCCCAAAAUAAGUGUCUCAAGAUUAGUACAACUUUGUACUAGAGUUAGUACAAAGCUGAGACACUUAUUUUGGGACGGAGGGAGUAGUUG